Molecule: transfer RNA, 68 nt
Filed under: Arvicanthis abyssinicus (Abyssinian grass rat)
Lineage: Eukaryota; Metazoa; Chordata; Mammalia; Rodentia; Muridae
Description: tRNA-Gly
Source: RNAcentral
ACCUCCUUAGUAUAAUUAAUAUGACUGACUUCCAAUUAGUAGAUUCUAAUAAACCUUAGAAGGGGGUA